AACGCACAUUGCGCCCUCUGGUAUUCCGGAGGGCAUGCCUGUCCGAGCGUCAUUGCUGCCCUCAAGCACGGCUUGUGUGUUGGGUCCCCGCCCCCUGCUUCCAGGGGGCGGACCCGAAAGGCAGCGGCGGCACCGCGUCCGGUCCUCGAGCGUAUGGGGCUUCGUCACCCGCUCUUGUAGGCCCGGCCGGCGCCCGCCGGCGACCCCCCAUCAAUCUUUUCAGGUUGACCUCGGAUCAGGUAGGGAUACCCGCUGAACUUAA
This 262-nucleotide unclassified non-coding RNA is filed under the name uncultured Ascomycota. Its description in RNAcentral is "sequence contains 5.8S rRNA gene, ITS2, 28S rRNA gene". The stretch from base 1 to 52 matches the Rfam family "5.8S ribosomal RNA", at positions 103 to 154 of the family's 154-position model. RNAcentral also lists the same sequence under 1 other name. Lineage: Eukaryota; Fungi; Ascomycota. The record is from RNAcentral.